UAGGGUUAGGGUAAAGUCAGAGAUGUUAUAGGGUUAGGGUAAAGUCAGAGAUGUUAUAGGGGUAGGGUAAGGUCAGAGAUGUUAUAGGGUUAGGGUAAAGUCAGAGAUGUUAUAGGGUUAGGGUAAGGUCAGAGAUGUUAUAGGGUUAGGGUAAGGUCAGAGAUGUUAUAGGGUUAGGGUAAGGUCAGAGAUGUUAUAGGGUAGGGUAAGGUCAGAGAUGUUAUAGGGUUAGGUAAGAGAUGUUAUAGGGUUAGGGUAAAGUCAGAGAUGUUAUAGGGUAGGGUAAGGUCAGAGAUGUUAUAGGGUUAGGUAAGAGAUGUUAUAGGGUUAGGGUAAAGUCAGAGAUGUUAUAGGGUUAGGGUAAAGUCAGAG
Molecule: non-coding RNA, 372 nt
Organism: Oncorhynchus mykiss (rainbow trout)
Lineage: Eukaryota; Metazoa; Chordata; Actinopteri; Salmoniformes; Salmonidae
Source: RefSeq, a predicted model, not a curated record